UGUAGAAAAUCUUACGUCUUUUCAAAAAUGGCUACAUUUGGCAGUAUUAUUUUCCUCUCCUAUCAUGCUUACCUUGAGCCCCCUUGUUCAUGUUUCUAAGCAUGUUGAAACCUACUUUUGGGCGUGGCUAAAUUUGCAGAGGGUUUGGUUACUAUGAUGCAAACCUGCUACCAGUCCAUCAGACAGACUGACAGACAAGCUGCAAGGAAAGCAUAGGUCUAAUGGAUCUUUAAGUUGGAAUGGAAAAUUUGUUUCGAAAUCAUCAGAAAAAAAAAAAAAAACACCUGCCAGAAUAUUGCAUUUAGAUGUAUUUAAGUCCUAUUAGCCAAGAGAAUAUUGAAGGAACAGGUUUGAAACCAUACUCCGUUGGAGUAGCAUCAGACAAGGGAAGUGUGAAUGUGUCAUAACUUGGCCAGGACCAGCUGCAAAGCAUGCUGGGACCUCAGAGCAUGAAGCAUUUGGAACAGGAACAGCUGAUGGGACUAGAGUGGAAAGAUGGCCACUGGUGGAGAGAGGGGCCCCAGUCGGCCAAAUGGACAUAAGAAAUUCUGAUGGACACUUCUCUCUUCUGAGUAUUGCUGAGUCAGUUGGAGUUCAUGACACUUUUUGAUACCACUCUGAAGGAGCCAGGGGAGAUGCUAAGUCAUACAAGGCCUGAACUUACCCUCAAUGAGUUAACAGUGCAAUUGAAGAAAAGAAGUUACUCUGCAUUCACUGUGAGCCAAACAUAAUGGUUGUCAACACACAGGGACUUGAGCACAAGACUUUGGAAUACAUGUCCAGUUCUUUCUCCAUCGGGGUAAAUCCUGUCUGAAGGCCAGAGUCUGAAGUGACUGGAUUCCUUGGAAACAUCUGGAGUACUUUCCUAGCCACAAGACACUGGUAUACUACAACUUCACAUUUGUACUGAAAUUCCUUUUUAUGUGGAGAAGAUUGGUUUUAACCUUCACUCUGCCUUGACUAGGUGAACUUGGGCAAGCCACAUGUCUUUUAGAAGCUUCAGUUUCUGGAUUUGUAAGUGAUGGGUUGAUGUUCAUACUCUAUCAGUCCUUUUCUAGUGGCAGCCUUGUAUUUUUCUGGCAAAUUCUUUGAUAUAGAGCUCUGCAGAAUUAGGAGAGUAUAUAAGGAUCUCUCGACUCCUCCCACCUCAUUCCCUCUAGUUGCCUGUGAGGGUUGCAUUCUCUACGGAAGAAUUUUAAAGAAAUCAUACAACUAACUAAAAGCCUACCUUCUUUCUCAAGUCUAAACAACAUUAGUGAUAAAACCUUAUCCCCACCCUGAUAUAAAUAGCCCUGUCCCUCUAUUUGUUGAUAGGCUAAUGCCUUAUUCACAGGGCACACUGCUGUUGCUGGUAGACACUGUUAUGAUCUGUCUUAUAAACGAAUGGGUUAAAGACACAAAGAAGGCAACUGUCAGAACCCAUGCCAAGCAGAAAGGGCCAAGGUUUGGAUUUCCUAAAUCUUCAUCCAGGGCUCUCUACUCCGAGUCAUAUCUUUUGUGAACUGAUCAUUCCUACUAAUGACAAUGACCUUGCCAGCACAGACAGAGGAAAAUCCUGGCCUAGAGGACAGCAUUUCCUGGCUCUUUCAAUAGAAAAGUCUAGAGGUGAGGUCUGGUUUUAUAAUUUUAAAAAGGCCCUUGAGCUUAGUGUCAGUUUAAACUGUCUCAGUUCCAUCAGUUAGAAACUACCCAAUAGUGAUUUAGGCUUCAGACAGAAGAGAACAGGGUUCAAAUUCCAAACCCGGCAUAUAUACAUUCACAUAACCCUUGAAACCUCUGUAAAAUGGGGAUAAGAUGACUAGAACCAAAAUAUUGUUGGAGAAAAGGGAUGGAUAAUUUUCAUUAAGUCUCUAGUUCAGGGCCUGGACCACAAUAACAAAUGUUGGUUUUCUGUUUCUGAUGCCGUGGUUAAAAUUAACAACUGGCUCAGUGCAAGUAUUCAAGCCCUAGGAGGGUGAAGGAUGCCUCUUGCCCUGGGGUUCAGAGAGGGAGAGAGUUAUGGAGGCCUUGGCCUCAGCAGUUCUGUGCAUCCAUAAUUCAACCCACGUGGGUAACUUGGUGUAUGGACGCAUGCCGUGCUGAGGCUGCAGAGCGUGUGAGCUGGGAGCACGGCUAGGGAGGCCACCUACAAUUUUAGCUCCAGCGUGGAAUUUCCUGGCUUUGGGGGGUCUGGAGUCCGAAUCUUCUCUGGUGCCUGUAGUGCUUCUGUUGCCAGAAGCAGGCGGCAGACGCAGUUUAUUUCCACCCGACCGCCCAGGGGGAGGCAGGAACCCUCCUCCGUGGCCCUCUAGCACUCAGUGCUAGCCAGGCUCCUGAGCAAGUUCCAGCAGCUCCUUCCUGUGCAAAUGCAUGUGGGCUCAAACAAUCACAUUGCUCAUUCAGGCCUGGGUGGAGAACUGUUUGUCUCUGCCUGGGAAAGAGAAGGCAGGGUUCACAGCUUCCCUAAUAAAAGGUUAAUUAUGCUGCCCUUGGGUCCUGAAAUCCAGUUAAAGAAAUUGUGGCUUCCUCCUACCUUAAUUUGUACAUGGAGGGAAAAGACCUCAUGGCUCCUGAAUAACUUAUGGUCCCAAGAUUACAAGAAAUAGAAUCCACAUCAGGCUAAUGAAAGCAAAUAAAAAAAAAUUUUUUUUUUUGAAGCUCAUAGUCGUUAGUUCAGAAAAGUGAAGGGAAAGCUGAACUUCCAGGCUUUAGAAGGACAGAAAUAAGGACAACUUGAUUCAGGAGCAGGAGCUUCUGGGAAGUCUGAAAAAGUGCCUCUAGAAAUAAUUAGUUCUAGUGAUUUACGACUUCUUUACUUGGCUCAAGAGUCAAAUUCCCUCAAAAAGGGAGUCCAACGAGUGAAGAAGUAAGAGCUCCCUCAAAUGUGCAAGUCCCAAAAUAUGAUUUGAUUGGUGGUUGUUCACCUGAUGAUCAGACUUAGCACCAAUUCACAGUAAUCAAACUCAUAAACAAUUGAUGUAUAGAUCUGACAACAUUGAAUCAGUUUACAGCAUCACCUCUACCUUCCAGGUGAACAGAUUACUUCUGUUUUUUAUCAAGUAUCUCUUCCUCCACUUCUUUCCUGGUGUCAGCACUCAAUGAAAACUGAGUUAGGCAUUAAAAAGUUCACUGAACUUGGGGAUAGGUGAUCUUAAGGGGUAAUUUUAUCCAGUCUGGGGAAUAAUUCUGACCAUCUGGCUUCUUUGUUCCAUUUUUUUCAAGGAUCCAUUCAUGUUACUCCUCAUUGCCACCCCAUCCACUCAACAGACAUGAUGUCACUUGGGUGCCUGAAUUUCUAGGCUGGAGGGCUCACUCAGGCUACCCCAAUGGGAUGCACAGUCUAUUCAUGUCACCUUAUGAGAGGGUUUUUGCCUCUCCUUAUAACUGGAAAAUGUCUUUGUUAACACAGUUAUUCUUUCCUGAGCUAAUAGUGUGCAGAGAGACAUCUGUGUAGUUGGAAGCCUUCAAGGAGGGUUUUAGAAACUAUCUGUAGCCAAUAGUUUACUGAUAGAGGGUGGAGAAUAAUAUAGCACAACAGAAAAAAACAAAAUGUGUCAUUGUUAUAACACUUCACGGUGUUGUCUUAGUAAAUCAUACACUCCACCCAGUCCAACAUCAGAACAAAAUAAAAUAAAAAACAAAAUGAAAAGAUCUCUUCCCAGCCAUUAUUCUUAAACACAUAUCAAAGACAACAAUUAAGAAUGGUGUCGUCCUUCAAAAGGAAUAAAGACUAUUGAUUUGGA
Molecule: long non-coding RNA, 3722 nt
Organism: Manis pentadactyla (Chinese pangolin)
Lineage: Eukaryota; Metazoa; Chordata; Mammalia; Pholidota; Manidae
Exons: 4
Source: RefSeq, a predicted model, not a curated record